This 253-nucleotide ribosomal RNA is filed under the name uncultured bacterium. RNAcentral's name for it is "partial 16S ribosomal RNA". It matches the Rfam family "Bacterial small subunit ribosomal RNA", at positions 524 to 776 of the family's 1533-position model. The record is from RNAcentral.
UACGUAGGCAGCAAGCGUUGUUCGGAAUUACUGGGCGUAAAGAGUGUGUAGGCUGUUCUCUAAGUCUGUCGUGAAAUCUCCCGGCUUAACUGGGAGGGUGCGGCGGAAACUGGAGUGCUAGAGGGUGGGAGAGGAAAGCGGAAUUCCUGGUGUAGCGGUGAAAUGCGUAGAUAUCAGGAGGAACACCUGUGGUGUAGACAGCUUUCUGGACCGCUUCUGACGCUGAGACACGAAAGCGUGGGUAGCAAACAGG